UACAGAGGUCCCAAGCGUUGUUCGGAAUCAUUGGGCGUAAAGCGCACGUAGGCGGCUUGCCAAGUCGGACGUGAAAUCCCUCAGCUCAACUGAGGACGUGCAUCCGAAACUGGCGAGCUUGAGUACUGAAGAGGAUCGCGGAAUUCCCGGUGUAGAGGUGAAAUUCGUAGAUAUCGGGAGGAACACCAGUGGCGAAGGCGGCGAUCUGGGCAGAUACUGACGCUGAGGUGCGAAAGCGUGGGGAGCAAACAGG
RNAcentral lists this ribosomal RNA (253 nucleotides) under uncultured bacterium. RNAcentral's name for it is "partial 16S ribosomal RNA". It matches the Rfam family "Bacterial small subunit ribosomal RNA", at positions 524 to 776 of the family's 1533-position model. The record is from RNAcentral.